This 934-nucleotide ribosomal RNA is filed under the name Inocybe exigua. RNAcentral describes it as "eukaryotic LSU rRNA". It matches the Rfam family "Eukaryotic large subunit ribosomal RNA", at positions 35 to 939 of the family's 3401-position model. Lineage: Eukaryota; Fungi; Basidiomycota; Agaricomycetes; Agaricales; Inocybaceae. The record is from RNAcentral.
UAAGCAUAUCAAUAAGCGGAGGAAAAGAAACUAACAAGGAUUCCCCUAGUAACUGCGAGUGAAGCGGGAAGAGCUCAAAUUUGAAAUCUGGCGGUUCUUGACCGUCCGAGUUGUAAUCUAGAGAAGUGUUUACCUGUGCUGGACCAUGUACAAGUCUUCUGGAAUGGAGCAUCAUGGAGGGUGAGAAUCCCGUCUUUGACAUGGACUGCCUGCACGUUGUGGUACGCUCUCGAAGAGUCGAGUUGUUUGGGAAUGCAGCUCAAAAUGGGUGGUAAAUGCCAUCUAAAGCUAAAUAUUGGCGAGAGACCGAUAGCGAACAAGUACCGUGAGGGAAAGAUGAAAAGAACUUUGGAAAGAGAGUUAAACAGUACGUGAAAUUGCUGAAAGGGAAACGCUUGAAGUCAGUCGCGUUGGCCGGAAAUCAGCCUUGCUUUUGCUUGGUGUACUUUCUGGUUCUACGGGUCAGCAUCAAUUUUGACCGCUGGAUAAAGGCCUUUGGGAAUGUGGCAUCUCUUUGGGGAUGUGUUAUAGCCCAUGGUCGUAUACAGCGGUUGGGAUUGAGGAACUCAGCACGCCGCAAAGGCCGGGUACCUUGGUACCACGUCUCCCGUGCUUAGGAUGCUGGCAUAAUGGCUUUAAUCRACCCGUCUUGAAACACGGACCAAGGAGUCUAACAUGCCUGCGAGUGUUUGGGUGGAAAACCCAUGCGCGCAAUGAAAGUGAAAGGUUGAGAUCCCUGUAAGAGGGGAGCAUUGACGCCCGGACCAGACCUUCUGUGACGGAUCCGCGGUAGAGCAUGUAUGUUGGGACCCGAAAGAUGGUGAACUAUGCCUGAAUAGGGUGAAGCCAGAGGAAACUCUGGUGGAGGCUCGUAGCGAUUCUGACGUGCAAAUCGAUCGUCAAAUUUGGGUAUAGGGGCGAAAGACUAAUCGAA